Molecule: ribosomal RNA, 2922 nt
Filed under: Loigolactobacillus coryniformis
Lineage: Bacteria; Bacillati; Bacillota; Bacilli; Lactobacillales; Lactobacillaceae
Description: Lactobacillus coryniformis 23S ribosomal RNA
Rfam family: Bacterial large subunit ribosomal RNA
Source: RNAcentral
AGGUUAAGUUAAGAAGGGCGCACGGUGGAUGCCUUGGCACUAGGAGCCGAUGAAGGACGGUACUAACACCGAUAUGCUUCGGGGAGCUGUACGUAAGCUUUGAUCCGGAGAUUUCCGAAUGGGGGAACCCAGCCAACUUAGUCGUUGGUUACUCAUAAGUGAAUACAUAGCUUAUGAGAGGUAAACGUGGGGAACUGAAACAUCUCAGUACCUGCAGGAACAGAAAGAAAAUUCGAUUCCCUAAGUAGCGGCGAGCGAACGGGGAACAGCCCAAACCAUGAUGCUUGCAUUGUGGGGUUGUAGGACUGAACUUUGGAGUUACCAAAGUCGUUGAUAACUGAGUCAGUUGGAAUGCUGAACAAAACAGGGUGAAAGUCCCGUAAGUCAAAUCAAUGGCUCUUCGUUCAGGAUCCUGAGUACGGCGGAACACGUGAAAUUCCGUCGGAAUCUGGGAGGACCAUCUCCCAAGGCUAAAUACUACCUAGUGACCGAUAGUGGACCAGUACCGUGAGGGAAAGGUGAAAAGAACCCCGGAAGGGGAGUGAAACAGUUCCUGAAACCGUGUGCCUACAAUUAGUUAGAGCCCGUUAAUGGGUAAUAGCGUGCCUUUUGUAGAAUGAACCGGCGAGUUACGUUUGCAUGCGAGGUUAAGCUGAUAAGGCGGAGCCAUAGCGAAAGCCAGUCUGAAUAGGGCGUUUAGUAUGUAGAUGUAGACCCGAAACCAAGUGACCUACCCAUGUCCAGGUUGAAGGUGUGGUAAAACACACUGGAGGACCGAACCCGUGUAUGUUGAAAAAUGCUGGGAUGAGGUGUGGGUAGCGGUGAAAUUCCAAACGAACUUGGAGAUAGCUGGUUCUCUUCGAAAUAGCUUUAGGGCUAGCCUCGGAAUUGACCAUCAUGGAGGUAGAGCACUGUUUGGACUAGGGGCCCGUCUUGGGUUACUGAAUUCAGAUAAACUCCGAAUGCCAUUGAUGAAUUAUCCGGGAGUCAGACAGUGAGUGAUAAGAUCCAUUGUCGAAAGGGAAACAGCCCAGACCACCAGUUAAGGUCCCCAAAUUUAUGUUAAGUGGAAAAGGAUGUGGGGUUGCAUAGACAACUAGGAUGUUGGCUCAGAAGCAGCCACCAUUUAAAGAGUGCGUAAUAGCUCACUAGUCGAGUGACCCUGCGCCGAAAAUGUACCGGGGCUAAACAUAAUACCGAAACUGUGGAUGACCACUUAUGUGGUCAUGGUAGGAGAGCGUUCUAAGGGCGUUGAAGGUUGAUUGUGAGGACAACUGGAGCGCUUAGAAGUGAGAAUGCCGGUAUGAGUAGCGAAAGACAGGUGAGAAUCCUGUCCACCGUAUGACUAAGGUUUCCUGGGGAAGGCUCGUCCUCCAGGGUUAGUCGGGACCUAAGCUGAGGCCGCAAGGCGUAAGCGAUGGCCAACAGGUUGAGAUUCCUGUACUAGUUUAUUUUGUUUGAACGAUGGAGGGACGCAGGAGGCUAAAGGAUCCGCACGAUUGGAAAUGUGCGGCCAAGCAAUAAGUCUUGGUGUGAGUCAAAUGCUUGCACCUGUACGGACAAGUUGUGAUGGGGAGCGAAUUUAAGUAGCGAAGUCCUUGAUGUCACACUGCCGAGAAAAGCUUCUAGUGAGAAAUAAACUACCCGUACCGCAAACCGACACAGGUAGUCGAGGAGAGUAUCCUCAGGUGUGCGAGAGAACUCUCGUUAAGGAACUCGGCAAAAUGACCCGUAACUUCGGAAGAAGGGGUGCUGAUCUAACGAUCAGCCGCAGUGAAUAGGCCCAGGCGACUGUUUAUCAAAAACACAGGUCUCUGCUAAAUCGUAAGAUGACGUAUAGGGGCUGACGCCUGCCCGGUGCUGGAAGGUUAAGUGGAUGAGUUAGUACUUCUGUACGAAGCCCAGAAAUGAAGCCCCAGUAAACGGCGGCCGUAACUAUAACGGUCCUAAGGUAGCGAAAUUCCUUGUCGGGUAAGUUCCGACCCGCACGAAAGGCGUAACGAUCUGGGCACUGUCUCGACGAGAGACUCGGUGAAAUUAUAAUACCCGUGAAGAUGCGGGUUACCCGCGACAGGACGGAAAGACCCAUGGAGCUUUACUGUAGCUUGAUAUUGAGUGUUUGUACCGCUUGUACAGGAUAGGUAGGAGCCGUUGAAGCCGGAACGCUAGUUUCGGUGGAGGCAUUGGUGGGAUACUACCCUUGCUGUAUGAACCCUCUAACCCGCGCCACUCAGCGUGGCGGGAGACAGUGUCAGGUGGGCAGUUUGACUGGGGCGGUCGCCUCCUAAAAAGUAACGGAGGCGCCCAAAGGUUCCCUCAGAAUGGUUGGAAAUCAUUCAUAGCGUGUAAAGGCAUAAGGGAGCUUGACUGCGAGACUUACAGGUCGAGCAGGGACGAAAGUCGGGCUUAGUGAUCCGGUGGUUCCGUAUGGAAGGGCCAUCGCUCAACGGAUAAAAGCUACCCUGGGGAUAACAGGCUUAUCUCCCCCAAGAGUCCACAUCGACGGGGAGGUUUGGCACCUCGAUGUCGGCUCAUCACAUCCUGGGGCUGUAGUUGGUCCCAAGGGUUGGGCUGUUCGCCCAUUAAAGUGGUACGCGAGCUGGGUUCAGAACGUCGUGAGACAGUUCGGUCCCUAUCCGUCGCGGGCGUAGGAAAUUUGAGUGGAGCUGUUCCUAGUACGAGAGGACCGGAAUGGACAUACCGCUGGUGUACCAGUUGUGCCGCCAGGCGCAUCGCUGGGUAGCUAAGUAUGGCCGGGAUAAACGCUGAAAGCAUCUAAGUGUGAAGCCCCCCACAAGAUGAGAUUUCCCAUUCCUUUAUGGAAGUAAGACCCCUGAGAGAUGAUCAGGUAGAUAGGUUGGAAGUGGACGUGCCGUGAGGCAUGGAGCGGACCAAUACUAAUCGGUCGAGGACUUAACCAAG